GAUGAACGCUGGCGGCGUGCUUAACACAUGCAAGUCGAGCGAGAAGUUUUGAAAAGAUUCUUCGGAUGAAAUUUAAAAUGGAAAGCGGCGGACGGGUGAGUAACGCGUAGGCAACCUGCCCCAUACAAAGGGAUAGCAUUUGGAAACGAAUAUUAAUACCUUAUGAAACUUAACUAGUGCAUGCUAGGUAGGUCAAAGAUUUAUCGGUAUGGGAUGGGCCUGCGUCUGAUUAGCUAGUUGGUGAGGUAACGGCUCACCAAGGCGACGAUCAGUAGCCGACCUGAGAGGGUGAACGGCCACAUUGGAACUGAGACACGGUCCAAACUCCUACGGGAGGCAGCAGUGGGGAAUAUUGCACAAUGGGGGAAACCCUGAUGCAGCAACGCCGCGUGAACGAUGAAGGCCUUUGGGUCGUAAAGUUCUGUUCUAGGUGAUGAAAACUGACAGUAACCUAGGAGAAAGCCCCGGCUAACUCCGUGCCAGCAGCCGCGGUAAUACGGAGGGGGCAAGCGUUAUCCGGAAUUAUUGGGCGUAAAGGGUACGUAGGUGGCCUUUUAAGCGUAGGGUAUAAGGCAAUGGCUCAACCAUUGUUCGCCCUAUGAACUGGAAGGCUUGAGUGCAGGAGAGGAAAGCGGAAUUCCUAGUGUAGCGGUGGAAUGCAUAGAUAUUAGGAGGAACAUCAGUCGGCGAAGGCGGCUUUGCUGGACUGCAACUGACACUGAGGUACGAAAGCGUGGGGAGCAAACAGGAUUAGAUACCCUGGUAGUCCACGCCGUAAACGAUGAGCACUAGGUGUCGGGGUCGUAAGGCUUCGGUGCCGUAGUUAACGCAUUAAGUGCUCCGCCUGGGGAGUACGCACGCAAGUGUGAAACUCAAAGGAAUUGACGGGGACCCGCACAAGCAGCGGAGCAUGUGGUUUAAUGCGAAGCAACGCGAAGACUUACCAUGACUUGACAUCCUUCUGAGCGGUCUCUAGUACG
RNAcentral lists this ribosomal RNA (980 nucleotides) under [Eubacterium] brachy. RNAcentral's name for it is "bacterial SSU rRNA". It matches the Rfam family "Bacterial small subunit ribosomal RNA", at positions 28 to 1009 of the family's 1533-position model. Lineage: Bacteria; Bacillati; Bacillota; Clostridia; Peptostreptococcales; Anaerovoracaceae. The record is from RNAcentral.